UAAAAAGCGCUGAUCGGGACGAGUACUUCCCGGAGAAGUCCAAGAGAGAGCAGGUCAUCGGCUGAAAGCCUGCUUGACUGGAAGGGUAGGAAAACCCCCCGUGAGCGGGUCCCUCAAAUCACGAUGAAGUGAGAGUAUGGGACCACGGUACGGUCCGUUAUUGCCGGAGAGUGUCAUAGCAACCCGAGAGUUUGCUGUGAAACUUGGGUGGAACCACGCGGGAAUCCCCCGCGCCCCAGGG
This 241-nucleotide non-coding RNA is filed under the name Chloroflexota bacterium. RNAcentral's name for it is "Chloroflexi bacterium T-box sequence". It matches the Rfam family "T-box leader". From Rfam's summary of the family: Uncharged tRNA acts as the effector for transcription antitermination of genes in the T-box leader family. T-boxes are found upstream of many aminoacyl-tRNA synthetase genes and some amino acid biosynthetic genes usually in Gram-positive bacteria. The anticodon of a specific tRNA base pairs to a specifier sequence within the T-box motif, and the NCCA acceptor tail of the tRNA base pairs to a conserved bulge in the T-box antiterminator hairpin. The record is from RNAcentral. Lineage: Bacteria; Bacillati; Chloroflexota.